Long non-coding RNA from Strongylocentrotus purpuratus (purple sea urchin), 278 nucleotides. RefSeq lists it as uncharacterized. The record is from RefSeq and is a predicted model, not a curated record. NCBI's taxonomy places the organism in Eukaryota, Metazoa, Echinodermata, Echinoidea, Camarodonta, Strongylocentrotidae. The transcript is spliced from 3 exons.
CAAUGGAACAUCAGGCAAGUGGUCUGGUGAAGUUCCCACGUGCAGACUGGCCGACAAUACAUUUUUCACGACAGUUUGGUUUCGUAUUCUCAUCGAUAUAGCAGCGGUUGUCGUAGCCUUGUUCAUCAUCAUAAUUGUUUUCUUGGUGGUACGAUAUAUUCGUAGACGCCGUCAAGGAAUCUUCCAUCGCUGGACACCUCCCUCCUCCCGAUCAUCUAGUAGAGCACCAGCUGCCCUUCGUUCUGAAGGCUAUCGUGUUCAAUUUCGGAAUCAUUCCA